This 490-nucleotide ribosomal RNA is filed under the name uncultured bacterium. RNAcentral's name for it is "partial 16S ribosomal RNA". It matches the Rfam family "Bacterial small subunit ribosomal RNA", at positions 30 to 507 of the family's 1533-position model. The record is from RNAcentral.
AUUGAACGCUGGCGGCAGGCCUAACACAUGCAAGUCGAACGGUAACAGGAAGACGCUUGCUUCUUUGCUGACGAGUGGCGGACGGGUGAGUAAUGUCUGGGAAACUGCCUGAUGGAGGGGGAUAACUACUGGAAACGGUAGCUAAUACCGCAUAACGUCGCAAGACCAAAAAGGGGGACCUUCGGGCCUCUUGCCAUCGGAUGUGCCCAGGUGGGAUUAGCUAGUAGGUGGGGUAACGGCUCACCUAGGCGACGAUCCCUAGCUGGUCUGAGAGGAUGACCAGCCACACUGGAACUGAGACACGGUCCAGACUCCUACGGUAGGCAGCAGUGUGGAAUAUUGCACAAUGGGCGCAAGCCUGAUGCAGCCAUGCCGCGUGUAUGAAGAAGGCCUUCGGGUUGUAAAGUACUUUCAGCGGGGAGGAAGGGAGUAAAGUUAAUACCUUUGCUCAUUGACGUUACCCGCAGAAGAAGCACCGGCUAACUCCGUG